UACAGAGGCCUCGAGCGUUAGGCGGAAUCACUGGGCUUAAAGCGUGUGUAGGCGGACUUCUAAGUACCUUGUGAAAUCCCACGGCUCAACCGUGGAACUGCUUGGUAUACUGGAUGUCUUGAGCCAUCUAGGGGCUACCGGAACAAAUGGUGGAGCGGUGAAAUGCGUAGAUAUCAUUUGGAACGCCAAUGGUGAAAACAGGUAGCUGGGGGAUGUGCUGACGCUGAGACACGAAAGCCAGGGGAGCAAACGGG
This 254-nucleotide ribosomal RNA is filed under the name uncultured bacterium. RNAcentral's name for it is "partial 16S ribosomal RNA". It matches the Rfam family "Bacterial small subunit ribosomal RNA", at positions 524 to 776 of the family's 1533-position model. The record is from RNAcentral.